RNAcentral lists this ribosomal RNA (468 nucleotides) under uncultured bacterium. RNAcentral's name for it is "partial 16S ribosomal RNA". It matches the Rfam family "Bacterial small subunit ribosomal RNA", at positions 28 to 507 of the family's 1533-position model. The record is from RNAcentral.
GACGAACGCUGGCGGCGUGCUUAACACAUGCAAGUCGAACGGAAAGGCCCUGCUUUUGUGGGGUGCUCGAGUGGCGAACGGGUGAGUAACACGUGAGUAACCUGCCCUUGACUUUGGGAUAACUUCAGGAAACUGGGGCUAAUACCGGAUAGGAGCUCCUGCUGCACGGUGUUGGUUGGAAAGUUUCGGCGGUUGGGGAUGGACUCGCGGCUUAUCAGCUUGUUGGGGGGGUAGUGGCUUACCAAGGCUGUGACGGGUAGCCGGCCUGAGAGGGUGACCGGCCACAUUGGGACUGAGAUACGGCCCAGACUCCUACGGGAGGCAGCAGUGGGGAAUAUGGCACAAUGGGCGGAAGCCUGAUGCAGCAGCGCCGCGUGCGGGAUGACGGCCUUCGGGUUGUAAACCGCUUUCGCCUGUGACGAAGCGUGAGUGACGGUAAUGGGUAAAGAAGCACCGGCUAACUACGUG